UGCCUGGAGGACUAGUGGCUAGGCCACAGCGAUCUCACCGCUGUGGCCCGGGUUCGACUCCUGGCCAGGGAU
RNAcentral lists this transfer RNA (72 nucleotides) under Pangasianodon gigas (Mekong giant catfish). Its description in RNAcentral is "tRNA-Glu". It matches the Rfam family "tRNA". From Rfam's summary of the family: Transfer RNA (tRNA) molecules are approximately 80 nucleotides in length. Their secondary structure includes four short double-helical elements and three loops (D, anti-codon, and T loops). Lineage: Eukaryota; Metazoa; Chordata; Actinopteri; Siluriformes; Pangasiidae. The record is from RNAcentral.